UGAGGUGUAGCUCAGUGGUAGAGCAUGUGCAUAGCAUGCACAAGGCCCUAGGGUUCAACCCCUAGCGCCAAAA
This 73-nucleotide transfer RNA is filed under the name Heterocephalus glaber (naked mole-rat). It matches the Rfam family "tRNA". From Rfam's summary of the family: Transfer RNA (tRNA) molecules are approximately 80 nucleotides in length. Their secondary structure includes four short double-helical elements and three loops (D, anti-codon, and T loops). The record is from Rfam by way of RNAcentral. Lineage: Eukaryota; Metazoa; Chordata; Mammalia; Rodentia; Bathyergidae.